CAAUAAUGCUCUAUAAAUAUGAGGACGAAGCAAAAGGGAGUGGAGCCAACUAAAAAGUUAUAAAGAGCAUCAUAUCAUACAUAGCAAUAAAAGAAAGAUGCAAGGCCAGUGGAUAGCGGCAAGAGACCUUACAAUUACAUGGGUGAACAAUCCUCAGUUCUGGAUAUGGAAAACUGUUGAUCCUAAUAUUGAAGUGGCGUAGCUUCGUAGCGUAAAUUGGCUUGACAUUUAUGGAAAGAUAGACACAAAAAAUCUUAUUCAAACGACUAGUUAUGCAGUAUAUUUUCAACAACUUAGGAGAGGAUGGUGAAGUCGAAAUGAGGUUGAUGGAAAUCAAUAACGCCACUUCGAAAUCUGGCAUCAUUGUUAAGGGCUUCGACAUUCGUCCAAAUUAAUUGGAUAGAUCUCUAGCCUUUCUAUUCUGCAUGUUGUUGUGUUUGUCUUUUCAGAUUUUCUAAUAAAAUCUCUCUCUAUGAUAAGAGUGAGCGUGUUGUAAGUG
Long non-coding RNA from Nicotiana tabacum (common tobacco), 499 nucleotides. RefSeq lists it as uncharacterized. Lineage: Eukaryota; Viridiplantae; Streptophyta; Magnoliopsida; Solanales; Solanaceae. The record is from RefSeq and is a predicted model, not a curated record.